Molecule: long non-coding RNA, 588 nt
Organism: Cyanistes caeruleus (blue tit)
Lineage: Eukaryota; Metazoa; Chordata; Aves; Passeriformes; Paridae
Source: RefSeq, a predicted model, not a curated record
UUCAUUUGCUUCCCUGUACCUCCCAGAGGUCAAUACCCAACUUAAAUAAUACCUACACCUCUCCCAUCUGAUAUCCUCUUCUCCUCUGGCAACACCUCACCACCAUUAAUGAACAAAGAGUCCAAGAAAGGAAAAAAAUUACACUUAAGGAUCAACUCCUGAGAGUACAGCUAUUUAAAUACACUGCUGAAAUCAACUAAAAUUGUACAAAAUUAAUGUUUCUUUUUUGCUUCUCUCUCACUGAGAUGAAGCCUUCCCUUGUGUACAAAAGGAGAAGAUAUUAAUUUUUGGAUGGUGCCGUAUUUAAGAACAGAAUUCAGAAGGUGCAUUAACGUCAGAAAUUCACCAAGAGUUUUGUUUAGAAGGUCCCCUCUAACAGGGUGGGUAAAGUCUGAAAUUGAACCUGGCUGAAGUUGAAAUCAGAGCCUGACUGACAGAACCCUAGAGACUUCUCCACAGCAUAUUCACCAGCAGCAACAUGAACCACUGCUAUCACCAGGACUUUCAAAAUCAAUUUUACCACCUUCCCAAGAACAAGUUUUCUCGCUCUGGAAAAUUAAUUUUAAGACAAUGAAUAAAGCUGCAUAA